Molecule: long non-coding RNA, 2188 nt
Organism: Mustela erminea (ermine)
Lineage: Eukaryota; Metazoa; Chordata; Mammalia; Carnivora; Mustelidae
Exons: 4
Source: RefSeq, a predicted model, not a curated record
AGCUAUACCUUGCUGCGUGCCACCAGAAUGUGCUAUGAUGAAUUCUCUCCAAGAUCAGGGACCACCUUCAAGCAGUCCUGAAAAAUGACACCCAGAACCAGUAAAAAAUGGAGGGGAGAAAAGAUCUCCUGGUGUACCAGCCCUGGAAGGACCAACCUGUGAUCUCACUCCUGGAUGACUCUGCAAAGAAAAAUUCCAUAGGCACAGCUUGGUUUAGGUGAACUAACUUGGCAAGAACAAAUUCUCUUCAAGUUCUCACCUUUCUACGCCAAUUUUAAGAUACACAUCUCCCUCUUCCCCAAAUACCACUUGAAAAAAUUUCUAAUACCUGGAUUUAUCAUACAAUCAGAGUCAAGGAGCCAGCUUUAAUCUAAGAGAUCCAAGAGUUGGACAGAGAGGACUGUCAAAAGCAUGGAGAACACCCCAUAGAAGAUCAUUCUUGAAGGAAGCCACAUGUGUCCGGCAUCUGUUUGCCAUCUCUGUGGUGACUGGCUUUAAUGAGUUCUAAUUUCUGAUGGGAACAAACAGAACUGUGAAUGCACCCAGGGAAUCCACCUGGCGAGUGCUUUUGUCAUUUCGUCAUUUCUUCAUUUCUGUUUGCCUACUUGUUGUGCUUCUUAAUUUGUCAAACCCUCUAAAGAUGUGUGGUGAAAGAACAUAAUUACAAUUUUUUUAAUUACAAAAAAAAGCAUUCAUACAAUACUGGCAGAAUCAUGCGAAUCCUUCUGCUCAUUUCUAUUUGAGCUAAAGUUUGAUGUUUACUCACACAAAAAGCUUUCUAAUUAUUGUACUAGAACUAUGUUUGCUACCCUCAUGGAUUGGGAUAAUCCUAUAGAGUGAUGGUACUUCUUCAUUCGCUUGCUCUCCGUCCCAAAGCCUGCAGAACUGAAACAAAUGGAAUUAGCCAGCACCAAAGUUAGAAAAAGCUCACCUUCUAUUUCACAACCCACCAAAAAGCAUAAUUAAACAGAAUACGCAGUCAAGUCCGAACAUUUAAGAUCACCACUUUCCCGAGAAGAUGAAAGAAACUUUCAAAAAAGUCAUUUUCCCUCUGGAACUUGGCUCUACAUGACAGAUGACCUGGGAUCAUAUGAAAAAGCAGUAUUCCCGAUUAUACUGUUUAAGCUCGGAAACAUUCCAAGGAAGGAGCGAAUCUGUUCUGAACUCCUGACCAGUGCUUUCCAGUGUCUGUCUGCAGUUCCUUAGGCAGAAUUUAGGUUGGUGCCACAGUUCCUGCUGAAAGCUCAGAGUGUUGAGCAAUCUGCAGCAGAGACCUCAAGAUAAUGGGGUAGGUGCUAUUUUAGGGUUAUGAAUAGAGCCUUGAUGAGGGAAAAGUCACAAAAGGCUUCAAGAGAGAUGGGUGUUGAAAGAUCCAACCAAAAUGAAUGUGUGAAGUUGCCAGAUGUGGAGGGCUCCAUGAUGAGCUGCAGGGAAGGCUCCCCCGAAGGAUACACACACACCCUUCUAGAAACCUCUGUGUUGGCCAGACAAAAUAUUCUGGAGGCCAGAUUUAGUGUGUGGGCCUUCCCAUUUAUGUCCCCUACUUUAAAGAUGUUUUAGGCAGUGGGGACAAAAGGCACAGAAACAGGAAAUUGGGGGAGGGAGUUGCGAAGUCUGGGCAGCUGGCUGUACUGUUUCAGGAGGGGCAGGAGGUAAGAUGACUAGGGGUUGGUUAGGAGGGAGGAAGGCUUGGAAAACUGCUCAACUAACACUAGACUUUAUCCCAAGCACCCUGGUGAGCCAGAGGCUCACUCUAAGCAGAAGGAUGACGCGAAGAUUCACUUCUAGUAAGAGAAUUGCCAGCAGGCCUGUAGAGGAGACAGGCAGAUGCGGGAAGGCUAGUUGGUGACGUGAGAGACCAAGACAGAGGCCAAGAUGGUGGCAAUGAAGGUGGUGAGGAUGGGUUACCACUGGGAGAUAUCUCUGAGGCGGAAGAGAAAAGGCUCAGCUGUGGGAGCAAGAGAGGGGAGAGGUUAAGAAUGAUCCCAAGGCUCUGGCUUUAGUAAGAGUUUAUGUAAAAAUACAUUGGUCAGAAUUGAGAAUCAGGAAAGGAGCAGUUGGGAGAGCGAUCAUUUCUGCUUAACAUAUACGAAAUUUUAAAUACCUGUGGUUUUAACCAGCUGGCAAUAUUUUUUUUUCCCUUUCUCUUUGUGUUCUUUUGAAUUUUGGAACAUUCCAAACUUCUGGA